Molecule: ribosomal RNA, 491 nt
Filed under: uncultured bacterium
Lineage: Bacteria
Description: partial 16S ribosomal RNA
Rfam family: Bacterial small subunit ribosomal RNA
Source: RNAcentral
AGUGAACGCUGGCGGUAGGCCUAACACAUGCGAGUCGAACGGCAGCACAGUAAGAGCUUGCUCUUACGGGUGGCGAGUGGCGGACGGGUGAGGAAUACAUCGGAAUCUACUUUUUCGUGGGGGAUAACGUAGGGAAACUUACGCUAAUACCGCAUACGACCUACGGGUGAAAGCAGGGGAUCUUCGGACCUUGCGCGAUUGAAUGAGCCGAUGUCGGAUUAGCUAGUUGGCGGGGUAAAGGCCCACCAAGGCGACGAUCCGUAGCUGGUCUGAGAGGAUGGUCGGCCACACGGGACCUGGGACACGUUCCAGACUCCUACGGGAGGCAGCAGUGGGGAAUAUUGGACAAUGGGCGCAAGCCUGAUCCAGCCAUACCGCGUGGGUGAAGAAGGCCUUCGGGUUGUAAAGCCCUUUGUUGGGAAAGAAAAGCAGCAGGUUAAUACCCCGCUGUUCUGACGGUACCCAAAGAAUAAGCACCGGCUAACUUCGUG